RNAcentral lists this long non-coding RNA (1046 nucleotides) under Heterocephalus glaber (naked mole-rat). RNAcentral describes it as "lncRNA (ENSHGLG00000029102.2)". Lineage: Eukaryota; Metazoa; Chordata; Mammalia; Rodentia; Bathyergidae. The record is from RNAcentral.
GUCAGGACCCAAGAAAGGAGCCCUGGGCUUUGGCUGGUGGUGCGCCGGUGCCAGGAUUGCUCUGUUGUGUACACCGAUUUUUUUCUGCUCAUCUACCUGGAGACUCCAGAGAGACAAUAGAUCAAUAGCAAUUUCUUCCCUGCUGGAAAAUGGCCAGCUGCAGCUUCCCACAAGCAACCCAGGCUGCCAGGCGAGUUUGCAACGCGACCUCCCGUGGUGCCAAUGACUGCAGAAGUGGAGAACAUCUGUCUCGGGGGAAAAGGUGGGCUGAGGACAAACAACACCUGAAGAUAUGAGAUGAGCUCACCUAGAACAGCCUGAAGUCAAGCUUGCAUCUGACUAUUUGCACAGGCACACAUGGCUGAGACAUCCAUAAGUAAGGAUGCUGGCUAAAUGCUCUCCUUUCCUCUCCUACCUACGAGACUCACAUGCCUGCAGAUGUUUGGUUUUGGUGCUCUGGCUCACUCUGGCUUAGAGGACUCAUGUCUUAAAGAUAUGUGGCUUGUCGGGUUUGUUUUUGUAUAUUCUUUCAGAGCAGAGUUUGGCUAGUUUCAGUUGGGACAUAUCAAUUUUGAAAAUGGAAAAAGCGACCUAAUGAUGUCAACACAUCCCCUUUGAUCCCUACAGGUUUUAGAACCUUGAUGCAGAGUUUUGUUAAGAAAAAUGAGCUAUAUUGGCACAAUAAAGUUUUUUGAGAUGUUAACUUUUCAAAUCGAUAUGUACUAAUGCAUCUUUCUACAGAGUUCCAUCAAUCACACAGAAAUGAUUUUGUCUACAUUUUUCACCUCUCGUUAACAGUAAUGAUUUUUUUUUUAAAAAAAGAAAAUGAUGAGCCUGGAAUAGCUCUGACUCAUUUCAAAAGAAAUAAACCCCUCACAAUUAGUGAAAAUAAUCCUUAGUCUAGAGGUUCUCUUUUGAUUUAGAGAAUAUUUUCCCCAUGUGUGUGUGCAUUCAUGCUUGUGUUUGUAACUCUGUUAAAAGAUAUUUGAGAUAUAAACUGAGGAUGACUCAUGCCUUGUGUAAUAAAUGAUCAGUUUGAUUUUUCC